RNAcentral lists this transfer RNA (74 nucleotides) under candidate division TM6 bacterium GW2011_GWF2_28_16. RNAcentral describes it as "tRNA-Met". It matches the Rfam family "tRNA". From Rfam's summary of the family: Transfer RNA (tRNA) molecules are approximately 80 nucleotides in length. The record is from RNAcentral. RNAcentral also lists the same sequence under 1 other name.
GGCGGGAUAGCUCAGCUGGUUAGAGCGUGGGAUUCAUAAACCCAAGGUCCUGAGUCCGAAUCUCAGUCCCGCUA